Numida meleagris (helmeted guineafowl) is the source of this 387-nucleotide long non-coding RNA. RefSeq lists it as uncharacterized. The record is from RefSeq and is a predicted model, not a curated record. Lineage: Eukaryota; Metazoa; Chordata; Aves; Galliformes; Numididae. The transcript has 2 exons.
GGGACGGGGCAUCCACAGCCUCUCUGGGCAGCCUGUUCCAGCACCUCACCACGCUCUUGGUACUGGAAGGCUGCAGGGUGACAUCACUGCUCUCAGGGUCAGGGUGAUGCCCCAGCUCUCAGCCUGUCCUCACAGAGGAGGUGCUCCAGCCCUCUCAUCAUCUUUGUGGCCCUCUUCUGGACCCUCUCUAACAGCUCCCUGUCUUUCUUGUAUUGGGGGCCCCAGACCUGGAUGCAGUACUCCAGAGGGGGAGUCCGUCCACGAGCCAAAUUUAGAAAAUCUAUUAGCCCUGCAAGUGUGAAGGAAAGAAUGUAAAAUUUAUUACAGAUGAAGGAGUAAAUCAUUUUUUCCUCCUCCACAAUAACAAUAAAUCGCACUUAAAACAUU